Pan troglodytes (chimpanzee) is the source of this 2052-nucleotide long non-coding RNA. RefSeq lists it as uncharacterized. The record is from RefSeq and is a predicted model, not a curated record. The transcript is spliced from 4 exons. NCBI's taxonomy places the organism in Eukaryota, Metazoa, Chordata, Mammalia, Primates, Hominidae.
CCCAAAGGCAGAGGCCGCGGGAAGUCUCCGCCCACGCCUUGGAAUGUAGCCGGGGAGUGUCUGUGACGUCACCGAGGAACUCCUCCUGCCUGAGCGCGGCCCGCUGUCGGCUGUCGCCUACAGCUGACCAAUAGAGGGCUUGGAUCCAGAAGUGAUGGACUGGAGGCUUGACUAAUGUGAAAGGGGCGUCUGAAAGAGAAGCCAGCUGCCAUGCCAUGAACUGCAAUGUGAAAAGGCCAAUGUAGCAAGGAUAUGUCCAGCCAACAGCCAGUGAGGAUCUGAGGCCCUCAGACCAGCAGCCCAUGAGCAACUGAAUUUUGCUAAUAACCACGUAAGUGAACACAGAAGUGGAUCCUUCCCCAGGCGAGCCUUCAUAUGUCCACAGACCCAGUCAAGACUUUGACUGCAGCCUUGUGAGAGCCCCUAAGCCAGAGGACCCAGCUAAGCCACGUUCAACUUCCUGACCUGUCAGUUUGCUCUUACCACUUAAUAAGAGAUCUUGAAAAUCCCCCGUCCUCCAGUGUGGAUUUAAUGCAUUCUUGUUAGCAGCUGACUGGAAAAGGAUGAAGCAUUCUUCAUGUUGAUAAACAGGUUUUACUUCUAGAAACAUCAAUUGUAUGACGCCAGGAUCAUAUGCUUUGCAUGUCUGAAUUUCCCGGGCGCUCUCCUUAGGAGAUUGUUGGCACCGUGUCACAAGAGAGGUUGGUGGAGGCAAGAGGUUCCUUAAAGGAGGACGGAGGACACAGCCAGAAACAAACAGCCCUUUAAUUGAGCUAGAAAAGACCGGAACUUCAAUUUCAGCCGUUUUGGUCACUUCUCCAACACUGCCACCAAGUGGCUAAAGAGGAACAAUGCAACUAGCAAACCCAAAGGGAAAGAUUGCAAGAGCUGGGCAGUCAUAAAACCACCAUGCCUGGCUAAUUUUUUUUAUUUUUAAUAGAGACAGAAUCUCAUUAUGUUGCCCAGGCUGGUUUCGAGCUCCUGGACUGAAGCGAACCUCCUGCCUCAGACUCCCAAAGUACUGGGAUUACAGGUGUGAGCCGCCACUCCUGGCCCGAGCAGUGGUAAAAUAAAACCACAUCUCACAUUCCAGAUUAAUUUGCAACCCUCAGGUGGAGAGAGAGAACAUUUUCAUCAACCUAAAGAGUGCCUUCGUGCUGUUUGCUAGUCAGUGCUUCUCCAGAGGUCAUUGCCUUUCUGGCUUCCAUAGAUCAGAUUUGCCUGGUCUUGAGCAUGAUGCAAAUAGAAUUUUACUGCCUAUACUCCUUGUCUGACUCACGCAUCUGUGAGAUGGGUCCAUGCUGUUGCUUGUACAGCCUAUUCUCAUUAUUUGCAGUAGCUCUGUUCUACAAAAUCAUCACAGACACUGAACCAUUGCUCAUAGGGAAAAUAGGGGUUAGGUUCCUGGGAGACUCUGCUCAUGACAAUUUCAUCAAGCAAUCAGUACAUAUAAAGAAACAAAUGUAUCAAUCUAUGUUUAACGUGUAUCAACUGAUAAACAUGCAGAAACAAAAUAAAAGCAGAUAACCUGGUUUUAUGUGUGUUUCUGUUUAAAGACACCUUGUUAAAUAUAUAUUGGUGAUUCAUUAACGUUGAACUCAUGGCCAACAGCACUGUAAUUCACGACUGAACGAAACUUAUCCAUGCCUAUUUUCCCCAAAAAACACAUCACAGCCUUCUUGCACUUACGAACAUUAGACGGCACUUUACCCUUAUGCUUGGGGCCAUUUUAAACAGCAAAAUCACCAACAAAGCAGCACAAAAAUGAAUUUAAUGCUAUGUUUAGCACUAAAUUGACCACAAAAAUGAUACUUGUUUUACCAUAUGACAGCCAGAACAAGAAGAUAGAACUUGGUCUUGUUUGACCUCACUAGGAUAACAAAUUUUGGCUGCAGUGGGGCACACCAGGAGAUUCAAAUUUCUCACUGUUCUGUGCAGGUCCAAAAAAUGGACCAUAAGAAUACCAUGAGUAUUUUAGGGUGACAAAUAAAUAUUAGCAAGUAGCCAAAUUCUCAAAUACAGAAUCCAUGAAUAAAGAUCAACUGUAUCUGU